UGGGGAAUAUUGCACAAUGGGGGAAACCCUGAUGCAGCGACGCCGCGUGAACGAAGAAGGUAUUCGUAUCGUAAAGUUCUGUCCUAUGGGAAGAUAAUGACAGUACCAUAGAAGAAAGCUCCGGCUAAAUACGUGCCAGCAGCCGCGGUAAUACGUAUGGAGCGAGCGUUGUCCGGAAUUAUUGGGCGUAAAGGGUACGCAGGCGGUUUAAUAAGUCGAAUGUUAAAGAUCGGGGCUCAACCCCGCAAAGCAUUGGAAACUGAUAAACUUGAGUAGUGGAGAGGAAAGUGGAAUUCCUAGUGUAGUAGAGAAAUACAGAGAUAUUAGAAGGAAUACCAGUAGCGAAGGCGACUUUCUGGACACAAACUGACGCUGAGGUACGAAAGCGUGGGGAGCAAACAGG
This 403-nucleotide ribosomal RNA is filed under the name bacterium. RNAcentral describes it as "partial 16S ribosomal RNA". It matches the Rfam family "Bacterial small subunit ribosomal RNA", at positions 355 to 776 of the family's 1533-position model. The record is from RNAcentral.